This 73-nucleotide transfer RNA is filed under the name Staphylococcus epidermidis. Its description in RNAcentral is "tRNA-Asp". It matches the Rfam family "tRNA". From Rfam's summary of the family: Transfer RNA (tRNA) molecules are approximately 80 nucleotides in length. The record is from RNAcentral. RNAcentral also lists the same sequence under 6 other names. Lineage: Bacteria; Bacillati; Bacillota; Bacilli; Caryophanales; Staphylococcaceae.
GGUCCCGUAGUGUAGCGGUUAACACGCCUGCCUGUCACGCAGGAGAUCGCGGGUUCGAGUCCCGUCGGGACCG